CCUACGGGAGGCAGCAGUGGGGAAUAUUGCACAAUGGGGGAAACCCUGAUGCAGCGACGCCGCGUGAGUGAAGAAGUAUCUCGGUACGUAAAGCUCUAUCAGCAGGGAAGAAAAUGACGGUACCUGACUAAGAAGCCCCGGCUAACUACGUGCCAGCAGCCGCGGUAAUACGUAGGGGGCAAGCGUUAUCCGGAUUUACUGGGUGUAAAGGGAGCGUAGACGGCAGCACAAGUCUGGAGUGAAAUCCCGGGGCUUAACCCCGGAACGGCUUUGGAAACUGUGCGGCGGGAGUGCAGGAGGGGUAAGCGGACUUCCUCGUGUAGCGGUGACUUGCGUAGAUAUUAGGAGGACCACCGGUGGCGCAGGCGGCUUACUGGACUGUAUCUGCCGUUGAGGCUCG
RNAcentral lists this ribosomal RNA (400 nucleotides) under uncultured bacterium. RNAcentral's name for it is "partial 16S ribosomal RNA". It matches the Rfam family "Bacterial small subunit ribosomal RNA", at positions 338 to 755 of the family's 1533-position model. The record is from RNAcentral.